Molecule: ribosomal RNA, 639 nt
Filed under: uncultured Actinomycetes bacterium
Lineage: Bacteria; Bacillati; Actinomycetota; Actinomycetes
Description: bacterial SSU rRNA
Rfam family: Bacterial small subunit ribosomal RNA
Source: RNAcentral
CGCGGCCUAUCAGCUUGUUGGUGGGGUAAUGGCCCACCAAGGCUCAGACGGGUAGCUGGUCUGAGAGGACGAUCAGCCACACUGGGACUGAGACACGGCCCAGACUCCUACGGGAGGCAGCAGUGGGGAACCUUGCGCAAUGGGCGAAAGCCUGACGCAGCAACGCCGCGUGGGGGAUGACGGCUUUCGGGUUGUAAACCCCUUUCAGCAGGGACGAAGAUGACGGUACCUGCAGAAGAAGCCCCGGCCAACUACGUGCCAGCAGCCGCGGUAACACGUAGGGGGCGAGCGUUGUCCGGAAUUAUUGGGCGUAAAGAGCUCGUAGGCGGUUCGGUAAGUCAGACGUGAAAUUUCAGGGCUCAACCCUGAGACUGCGCCUGAUACUGCUGUGACUAGAGUCCGGUAGAGGAGUGUGGAAUUCCUGGUGUAGCGGUGAAAUGCGCAGAUAUCAGGAGGAACACCAGAGGCGAAGGCGGCACUCUGGGCCGGUACUGACGCUGAGGAGCGAAAGCGUGGGUAGCAAACAGGAUUAGAUACCCUGGUAGUCCACGCCGUAAACGUUGGGCACUAGGUGUGGGGCCUUAUCAACGGGUUCCGUGUCGUAGCUAACGCAUUAAGUGCCCCGCCUGGGGAGUACGG